GUAGGUGAACCUGCGGAAGGAUCAUUCAUAAUAAAGUGUUUUAUGGCACUUUUUAAAAAUCCAUAUCCACCUUGUGUGCAAUGUUAGAUCUCGUCAAUCUUGGCGAGAUUUUUAUACAUCAACUCAUUCUUUAACUAAUUUGUCUGAAAAAUAUUAUGGAUACUUAAUUCAAAAUACAACUUUCAACAACGGAUCUCUUGGCUCUC
RNAcentral lists this unclassified non-coding RNA (206 nucleotides) under plant metagenome. RNAcentral's name for it is "partial contains small subunit ribosomal RNA, internal transcribed spacer 1, and 5.8S ribosomal RNA". The record is from RNAcentral.